UUAUUGCGCCUCAAAUAAACAAUGAAUCAAAAUACGCAUUAUCGUAAUAGUAAGGCUAAUGAUCAACAAACAUAGCGGUGCAAGACCGGGUGAAUCAAAAGUCAUUGUACAGUCGUAAGAAUGUUAAGUAAAAACCCUUCAGUUAUUCUGGCCCACCCUGUAAAAAAAAUACGGGCACCUUAGACCCGAAAAUUCAAUAAAUACCAUACAAUGUUGCUAGCUAGCUAUCUAUAUCAGCUAUUGCUAUAGGAAUAUAUAAAUAGCUACUAUGUAACACAUCUCUUCGCUCAGGUGCUGCGUAUACUCGACAUAACCACUCACAUAUAAUUCUCAAGAAAUUCUUUUGAAAACAAAACAAAGUUUUAUUGUGAACAAAAUCGGUUGAUGCGAUUGUAGUUUCAAAGUGAUGGAAAUUGUUUAUAGUUGUGUUCACAUUAUGUUGUCAAACGAAAUAUUAUUAGAAGUUAAUGAAACAAGUGGAUCCAUUUCACUGAAAUUCAUAAAUUUGAUUCGUAGACAUGCACAAUUGUAUAUACAUAAUCCAUUUGACACGAAAAUGACCACCAUAAUGGGCCGAAACGUUACAUUUUUCAAAGUUAGAAUUUACUAAAAAAUUCUAAUCAAUCUAGGUAUCGUAUUGGGGGUGGAUUAUAUUUCUAAAUGCAGGGUCCUGUUAAUUGGAUCUGGCGCAGAUGAACUAUUUGGAGGCUAUACAAGACAUCGCAAUGCAUUUUUACGUGAAUACGACGAUGGAUUAACAUCAUUUGAACGCCUUGAAAAAGAAUUGGAAUUUGAUUUCAAGAGAUUGCCAAACAGAAAUUUGGCAAGAGAUGACCGUGUUAUUGCUGACCAUGGUGUUUCAAUUAGAGCACCAUAUAUUGAAGAAGUUUUCACACGCUUUAUUCGAUCAUUGAAACCAUUUCAAAAGUGUUAUCAUCAAUUGGAUCAAGGGAUUGGAGAUAAACUUCUUUUGCGCUUGUGUGGCUACCGUCUCGGGCUUCGAAGAGUGUCCGUAUUGAAGAAAAAAGCAAUGCAAUUUGGAUCUCGUAUUGCCGAUAGUAAACAGAAUGCAAAAGAAAUUUCCAAGUUACUUGUAUAAUAUACUGACGUCUUUAUUUUAUAAUUUUAUAACUAACCAACUGUAACUUGCCUUAUAUGUCGUGAAAAAUUAAUAAGAGGAUUAACAUGCAAAGUAAAUUUCAAUGCAUAUACCUUUAAAUAGGACGGAUAUCAAAAAAGUUAUUAUUUUAUGAGUGAAUAUUAUUGAACCUAUCUGGGAAUACAAAAAAUUGUUUCUCUUUCAAUUUGAACAAAUUUCAUCUAUAGAUGAAAUAUUUCAAGGCACACAUUCAUGAUAGUUUUUUUAAUUACGUUUUUGAUAUAAGACAUUAUAAUUUAUUUCUCUGCUUUAAUAACGAAGUACUACUUCUACUAAAUUUAUAUUUUAUGCAUUAAAUUAUAUAAAUUCCAAUAAAAAUCAUUCUUCAAAUUUUUUUGUUACAGAAA
Molecule: long non-coding RNA, 1506 nt
Organism: Contarinia nasturtii (swede midge)
Lineage: Eukaryota; Metazoa; Arthropoda; Insecta; Diptera; Cecidomyiidae
Exons: 2
Source: RefSeq, a predicted model, not a curated record